Phyllopteryx taeniolatus (common seadragon) is the source of this 2926-nucleotide long non-coding RNA. RefSeq lists it as uncharacterized. The transcript has 3 exons. NCBI's taxonomy places the organism in Eukaryota, Metazoa, Chordata, Actinopteri, Syngnathiformes, Syngnathidae. The record is from RefSeq and is a predicted model, not a curated record.
CAGACGGUGAUAUUUGAAUGUGCUGAGUGUUCUUUGGCGACGCAAUGUGCAGGUGGCGCGUGUGUGCGCACUGGAAAGAGAUGACCUUAUGAUAGAGCAACGGACUGAAACACUUGACAGACGGAGCCCUCUGCAGUGGGAGUUGCGGUGGACCGUGGCCAUGGUCUUCCCUUGUGGGGUCCCCAGUCGCUGUGUGCAGGCACUUGCUUUGCCGCUGCACUGGGGGCUCCAUGCUGCUGGUCUGUGUCAGCAGCCCAUGGUAGGGCCCUGGUGCAGAGGGCUCCUUCGUCACCUGGAUGCUCUGUGCCCAGCCCCAUGUUUCGUAGCUCAUUACUUGUAUUAUGACCCGCUGAGAUUCGCACUUCCCUUCCCGUACCGUCUCUUCGCCUCUGACCCAGUCUGGAGGUGGCAAGGCUGCAGUGAUCUCACCUUCCUCUGGGGAGAUUGGAAUGAGUAACAGCACAAGCUGCCAGGCACGAAGCUGACGUCCAGCCUGCUACAGCAGCAGCUCCCACACGCGGGCCGCUGAACAAAGAGCCUUACGAGCCACAUUGGCUCAUCCUCUACAUACACGGGUGAUUCUCAAGCACUGUACCUUGAGAGAUCAUCAGGGAAAUGAUCCAAUUUCACCAAAUUGGUCUGAAAAUCUUUCUUCAUCUAUCUAUGCCAGUGAUGUAUAAUGACAGGCAGAACAAUUAAAUGCUCUUCCACUAGAGAGCAGAAGGUACAUAAUUAUUAUUUACUGUAUUGUAUUGUUUUUAUUUGGUUGUGUGUUGUGAGCUUUUUCUGAAGUAAAAUAUGUGCCUUGGCUUACUACAGGUUGGGAAACACUGCAUUAUGCACAAUCAGAUGAAGAUCCAAUACAAGAGCCGAAUCAAAAUGUCUGUCUUUAUAAUAAUUAUUAUUGUGAUUGACUGUCAGAGGUUGUUGAGUGGAACCUCAAGGUUGAUCGAAGUUGAAGUGGAAAAAUUUGUUGCUCACCCAGGUUUUUUACCAUUUCCUUAGCUUUUUUUGGAAUGUCACCACAGAUGUACCAGUGAUGCCAAUGAGGAAAAGUGUGAAGAGAUUCUGAGAACUGGAAACUGGUUGUUGGAACAGAGGAGUGUCUUUAACUCAUUCACUGCCAGCCUUCCCAGCUAACAUGGAUAUUUGACUUCUAAAGCCGUCAAUGGCAGUGAAUGUGUAAACUGCUCAGUAUAAAACAAGCAACGCCUCUUUUUUAAAAAUUAUAUUAUAUAUACACAACUGGGGUGGCAUGGUUGUGCCUGGUUAGCACAUCUGCACACAGUUCUGAGGACCGGGGUUCAAAUCCCAGCCCCGCCUGUGUGGAGUUUGCAUGUUCUCCCCGUGCCUGCGUGGGUUUUCUCCGGGUACUCCGGUUUCCUCCCGCUUCCCAAAAACAUGCAUGUUAGGGUGAUUGAAGACUCUAAAUUGCGUGAAUGUGUGCGUGAAUGCUUGUUUGUUUAUAUGUGCCCUGCAUUUGGCUGGCAACCAGUACAGGGUGCACCCCGCCUCUCACCCAAAGAUAGCUGGGAUGGGCUCGAGCAAGCCCGCAACCCUUGUGAGGAUUAAGCGGUACAGAAAAUGGAUGGAUGGAUACACCACUGGUCAAAAGUUCAUCCCAAUUCUUGCAGGUCAGUGUCUCGUUGUACUCUGAAAGGUAUCACAGAGCAAAUAAAUAAUUCAAACUACAAAAGAAAUCUAUAAACCAAAAUGUAUUCUGAACAUUUGACUCAUUGAAGUAGCCACCUUGGGAAGAUAUAACAGCUACAGUAAACUCUGUUGAGAGAAGUUCCCCAAAAUUUGUGGUAUUUAUAGGUUGCUUUGCUUUCACUCUUCCAUUAAGUUCAUCCCAAACCAUCUUGAUGGGUUUUCAGUCUGGAGACUGUGCCUUUUUGUAUAAUCCUGAAAGGCACAUUAUUUUUCAGUUUUUGGUAAAUAUACUUGCUUUUAACAGCUAUUCAUUGGACUUGAACUUCAGAACUUUAAAUGCAAAAUACUGGAAAAAUUGGUGUGUUCUAAAACUUUAGACCUGUAGUGCAUGUACAUUACAUUCUUCCAUCCGUUUGCUAUAGUGCUUGUCCUCGUUAGGGUUAGCGGUGAGCCAAGACUAGCUGACUUUGGGCAAGAGGCAGGGUAAACUCUGGACUGGCCGCCAGCCAAUCGCAGGACACAUAGACAAACAAGCAUUCAUAAUCACAUCCUCACCUUCAGAAUGGACAGUUUAGAGUCUUCAUUGACCCUAACAUGUUUUUGGAAUUUAGGAGGAAGCUGGAGUAUCCGGAGAAAAUCCAUGCAAGCACAGAUCUUCUAACCAUUAUGCCACCAUGCUGUCUACAUAUUACAUUCAUAAAUGCAUUUCACCAAGCAGAUGCCAACCUACACAACACAACAAGACCUUAUUUUCAUCAAUACUCAUAAAAUGCCAUUCGCGGACAAUAUCACCCUUCAAACACCUUCCUGUCUGUCCCCUUUUCUUUUGCAUGUCAGUCAGGCAUUUAAAUAAUGAGUUUUACUUUAUUUUAGUUUUGUUUUGCAGUGCACAACUUGUUUUUCUUGUACAGAAAGUGAAAGUUAAGAAAGUUAAAAUGUUGCUUAAAAAAAAAAAUUCCUGUACAGUUGAUAAAGGUUUUAUAAUGGGGACAGUGUGACCCUGGAAUGCGGCAUUUAUAUUCCUAUGGGAAUCCAUUUUUCAUUGUUGUUUGUAGUGCCCUGCAUCAUCAUAAGAGCUGUUUGGACACGCUUAUUACUAAUUCUGGUAACCAAAUGAUUAGAAACAGCAUUAUGCAGUGCAGUUCCGUCCACUUGAAUAACAGUGUCAGUCAUAUUGUCUUUGAAAAGGCAGUUUUCUCUUUGGAAUGUUGAUGUGUACCUAAUGUUGUGGCCGGUUGAUGAAGUGGAAGCAUGAGUGCAUCGAUUUGUGUGU